Molecule: non-coding RNA, 138 nt
Organism: Bombyx mori (domestic silkworm)
Lineage: Eukaryota; Metazoa; Arthropoda; Insecta; Lepidoptera; Bombycidae
Source: Rfam
CCUCAUACCUUUGGCAUGGGUACGUUCUUCAAUAGCGUGACAUGAAUGCAAGUAUGAGGUACAUUAAAUACAGCUAUAUGCCUUCGGUGUUCAUGCUAAACAAAUGCCUGAAUCCCAUCCUCAAAUGUUGUGACAUUU